GACGAACGCUGGCGGCGUGCUUAACACAUGCAAGUCGAACGGAAAGGCCCUGCUUUUGUGGGGUGCUCGAGUGGCGAACGGGUGAGUAACACGUGAGUAACCUGCCCUUGACUUUGGGAUAACUUCAGGAAACUGGGGCUAAUACCGGAUAGGAGCUCCUGCUGCAUGGUGGGGGUUGGAAAGUUUCGGCGGUUGGGGAUGGACUCGCGGCUUAUCAGCUUGUUGGUGGGGUAGUGGCUUACCAAGUCUUUGACGGGUAGCCGGCCUGAGAGGGUGACCGGCCACAUUGGGACUGAGAUACGGCCCAGACUCCUACGGGAGGCAGCAGUGGGGAAUAUUGCACAAUGGGCGGAAGCCUGAUGCAGCAACGCCGCGUGCGGGAUGACGGCCUUCGGGUUGUAAACCGCUUUCGCCUGUGACGAAGCGUGAGUGACGGUAAUGGGUAAAGAAGCACCGGCUAACUACGUG
This 468-nucleotide ribosomal RNA is filed under the name uncultured bacterium. RNAcentral's name for it is "partial 16S ribosomal RNA". It matches the Rfam family "Bacterial small subunit ribosomal RNA", at positions 28 to 507 of the family's 1533-position model. The record is from RNAcentral.